AUGAGAACCAUUAUUCACAUUCAUUCCUUGCCCUACAAGCUUGGCCAUUUCUGGUGGACACACCCAGAUCCCACUAACUUUCCCUCCAGAGCGAGCUGGCUCGGGGAGACCCGGCUGCCACCGCGACGCCUUGGGGCCCGGGCGGUACCGACGCACGGAGCCACGGGGAGAGGGUGGCAGCGACCCCGGCCAAGCCCGACGCGGGGCAAGAGCAUCUGGUCCGGCCCUGGCGGCAGCUGGAGAGUUCCCGGGGCUCCCGCGGCCACGCCGAGCUGUGCCGCCGGCGGGGCGGUGGCCGGCAGGGGUGCCCGGAGACCCGGCGCGGCGGAGGGAUGCCCACGGACCCAUCCCCCCGCGCCCCCCCGCGGUCCUCCCGGGGAGGGGACCCCAUUGUACGCCGCGGGCGAUGGGCAGGCGGCGGCGCGGGGGCUGGCGCGCGUUCGCUUCCCCUCCGCGGCUCCCCGCUCGUCCUGGGGGCGCCGGGCGCGUCCCGGGGGCGCAGACCGCGGGGCCCCCACCCCGGCCGGCCGCGGGGCCUCCCUGCCUCCGCUCGCUGCCAAACUUUCCAGCCCCGACCGCGCGCCGGGCCCGGGGGCGGGCGCCCCUCCACGCCGUGGCGAGCCAGGCCAGGCCCGCGCGGCGCGGGUGCGGGGCGGGGCGGGCGGGGCGGGUGCCCGGGCCGGGGGCGGCGGGCGCGCGUGGGCAGCCCCCGGCCCUGGGCGGCGCUCCCCGGCUGGCUACAAAGCCUCGGCAAGAUGGUCCCUUCGCCUCCUCCUGGCACAGUCAAUCAGCGCCCGCCGCUCCCCGGGCGCCCGCGGGGCCCGCGCUCCCCGCGCGGCCGGACACACCUCCCCGCGGCCACCUGCGCCCGGCGCGAGCCCCCGGGCAAACUUCGCGGCCGCGGGCGGAGGUGGGCGCCGGCGGCCCCGUGCCCGGCCGCUCCCCGCCCCCAUCGCCCGCCCGCCCGCCCGCCCGCGCGCUCACCUUCCACCGCGGCGAGCAGCGGCAGCAGCAGCAGCGCGGCCCCCAGCCUCCGCAGGGCCAUGGCUGCGCCUCCCGGGGCCUCGGGCCGCCGCGCCGCGGGACCCGGGCGGCAGCGCGCGCCCCGGGCUCGGGGGGCCGGGGGGGGCGGCGAGGCGCGGCGCACACACAGCCGCCGCCACCGCGCAGCCAGCAGAAUGA
Molecule: long non-coding RNA, 1182 nt
Filed under: Canis lupus dingo (dingo)
Lineage: Eukaryota; Metazoa; Chordata; Mammalia; Carnivora; Canidae
Description: lncRNA (ENSCAFG00020019604.1)
Source: RNAcentral